UCUUAGGACCUCCCGCUACAGGGGCGGCCGAUGGCAGAUUAGCUAGUUGGUGGGGUAAAGGCCUACCAAGGCGACGAUCUGUAGCUGGUCUGAGAGGACGACCAGCCACACUGGGACUGAGACACGGCCCAGACUCCUACGGGAGGCAGCAGUGGGGAAUUUUGGACAAUGGGCGAAAGCCUGAUCCAGCAAUGCCGCGUGUGUGAAGAAGGCCUUCGGGUUGUAAAGCACUUUUGUCCGGAAAGAAAACCUCCGCCCUAAUAUGGUGGGGGGAUGACGGUACCGGAAGAAUAAGCACCGGCUAACUACGUGCCAGCAGCCGCGGUAAUACGUAGGGUGCAAGCGUUAAUCGGAAUUACUGGGCGUAAAGCGUGCGCAGGCGGUCCGCUAAGACAGAUGUGAAAUCCCCGGGCUUAACCUGGGAACUGCAUUUGUGACUGGCGGGCUAGAGUAUGGCAGAGGGGGGUAGAAUUCCACGUGUAGCAGUGAAAUGCGUAGAGAUGUGGAGGAAUACCGAUGGCGAAGGCAGCCCCCUGGGCCAAUACUGACGCUCA
RNAcentral lists this ribosomal RNA (554 nucleotides) under Paraburkholderia sp. RNAcentral's name for it is "bacterial SSU rRNA". It matches the Rfam family "Bacterial small subunit ribosomal RNA", at positions 201 to 749 of the family's 1533-position model. The record is from RNAcentral. Lineage: Bacteria; Pseudomonadati; Pseudomonadota; Betaproteobacteria; Burkholderiales; Burkholderiaceae.